This 245-nucleotide ribosomal RNA is filed under the name uncultured bacterium. Its description in RNAcentral is "partial 16S ribosomal RNA". It matches the Rfam family "Bacterial small subunit ribosomal RNA", at positions 524 to 769 of the family's 1533-position model. The record is from RNAcentral.
UACGUAGGGGGCAAACGUUGUCCGGAAUCAUUGGGCGUAAAGCGCUUGUAGGCGGUCGCGUAAGUCAGAUGUCAAAUCCCCGGGCUUAACCCGGGUCCGCAUUUGAUACUGCGCGGCUCGAGAGAUGUAGAGGAAAGCGGAACUACCGGUGUAGCGGUGAAAUGCGUAGAUAUCGGUAGGAACACCAGUGGCGAAGGCGGCUUUCUGGACAUUUUCUGACGCUGAGAAGCGAAAGCUAGGGGAGC